This 493-nucleotide ribosomal RNA is filed under the name Glutinoglossum pseudoglutinosum. Its description in RNAcentral is "partial 18S ribosomal RNA". The stretch from base 63 to 405 matches the Rfam family "Group I catalytic intron". From Rfam's summary of the family: Group I catalytic introns are large self-splicing ribozymes. They catalyse their own excision from mRNA, tRNA and rRNA precursors in a wide range of organisms. Lineage: Eukaryota; Fungi; Ascomycota; Geoglossomycetes; Geoglossales; Geoglossaceae. The record is from RNAcentral.
AAAGUCGUACCAAGGUUUCCGUAGGAACAAGUCCUUUCCGCUGGUAACACUUGCCGGAAGCCUUAGCAGCCUGAAAGGGUGCCCCUCGACGAACUUGAAAUAAAAUUAGAGGGUCUCAAAUGGNUAGUCCACUGUAUAUAAGGUGGGCAACCCCUGCCAAAUUGCGGGGAACCCCUAAAAGACCUGACACCAAGCGUCUGCUGGAAACAGCGGCGUGGCCGAGCUAAUAGCCCUGGGUAUGGUAAUAGUUCAAGGUAUGAGCCUGAGUGAUCGGGCGAAAUGGGCGAUCUGCAGCCCAAGUCUUAAGGUCUCUGUAGGCUAUGGAUGCUGUUCACAGGCCAAAUGGCAGUGGGUGGGAGUAUCAUCUCCUGCUUAAGAUAUGGUCGGUCCCCUUGUGAAAAGCUUGGGGGUAAGUUUUUCGGAUAAAUUGCUUUUGUGGUUCUCAGAAAUUCCGAGUACUUUUUACGUUCCGUAGGUGAACCUGCGGAAGGAU